GACCUAGGGAGGCAGCAGUGGGGAAUAUUGGGCAAUGGGCGCAAGCCUGACCCAGCAACGCCGCGUGAAGGAAGAAGGCUUUCGGGUUGUAAACUUCUUUUAAGAGGGAAGAGCAGAAGACGGUACCUCUUGAGUAAGCCACGGCUAACUACGUGCCAGCAGCCGCGGUAAUACGUAGGUGGCAAGCGUUGUCCGGAUUUACUGGGUGUAAAGGGCGUGUAGCCGGGAGUGCAAGUCAGAUGUGAAAUCCCGCGGCUCAACCUUGGAACUGCAUUUGAAACUGUUGGUCUUGAGUAUCGGAGAGG
Molecule: ribosomal RNA, 305 nt
Filed under: uncultured bacterium
Lineage: Bacteria
Description: bacterial SSU rRNA
Rfam family: Bacterial small subunit ribosomal RNA
Source: RNAcentral